Rosa rugosa (rugosa rose) is the source of this 2271-nucleotide long non-coding RNA. RefSeq lists it as uncharacterized. The record is from RefSeq and is a predicted model, not a curated record. NCBI's taxonomy places the organism in Eukaryota, Viridiplantae, Streptophyta, Magnoliopsida, Rosales, Rosaceae. The transcript is spliced from 9 exons.
AUAAAUUAAAUGUGUUGUCUGAAUACACAGAGAAACCAUACCUGUUUCAUUUUGAAGAUAUGGUCAUAUUCAGACAACAGUUAUAUGUCGUUUGAAAAUAUUGAAAUUUUUCAUAUUGAACCCUAGCAAAAAUUUUAGAAUUCCCUCCAACUACAUCAAGCCUUUCCCUCUCAAAGGUCCCGAACCCUAACUGAGAAGUCAAUGGGGAUGAUAUUCAGACAACAUUGCUAAGAAAUUGUGUUGUCUGAAUUAGGUGAUUUAAAUUUUUUAUUUUUUAAGUAUUCUUUGGGAUAAGUAUGAAAGUCUUCGUGUUUUCCCCCACACUCGUUAGGUCUGUCUAAAACCCAAGUCUCAAUUGCAAAAGCCUGAACCUCCACUGCGAAUACUCGACCAUCUCUCAAAAUCUUAACCCAAAACUCGGUCAUCUCUCAAAUCUGAACCUAGAUCGAACUCAUCUCAGUCUUUUCAACCAAACCUAAACCUUCUUAGUAUCUUCUUCAUCUAUGAACCUUGAGAAUCCUUGAUGUUUCAUUCACGUGCGGUUUAAUGGAGCUGUUCAACAACCACUUAACAGAUUAGAGCAAGCUUUAAUAUUCUGUUUUCUAUUGGGUUAUUGAUUCGAGUUAGGUGUCAGGUCUUUCUCCAAUUUGUUUUCCUUGAAAAUAAUAGGGCCUCGCACCGUCUCUACUUUCAAAGAGAGGCAUCCUCAGCGUCUCCGAGUUCGUCACCGCCAGUGAUAACCUCGUCUCCAAGUGCCUUACCUGGGAAUCAAGAAAACCAAGCAAGAGGAAGCCAUAUCUACCGUCUGAAAACCAGUAUUUGAUUACUAGAAAUGGGCUGCAUCUGUGGAAGAGGAGUACGAAGUUGGAGGUGUGGAAGUUCUUAUUGAUAAUGAAGAUAAUGAUGGCUGGUUGGCAACAUAAGGGAAGCCAAAGAAUAAAAGUAGUGAGGAGGAAAACUUUCCUUCUAUUGAAAAUUUAAAAAUCAGCAAGGUGAAGUCGGCCCCCUCGCAAGUUAAGGGUGAAGAUGAAGAUGAUAUCCCUGACAUGGCUGAUUAUGAAGAAGAUGACAACACCUAUGGAAUACAAAAGAAAAAGAAGGGCUGGUGUUCGUUCAUUCUCCAUGUAUAUGUGCCGCUGAGACCCACUUGGAAAUCUUGACACAACUUUCGUCUUAAUGUCACAACCAAGCAGCCUAAUUUUCUCUCUCCUUGUCAUCUUCAUGACUCUUUGCAAAUGCUUUCCUACAAAUCUUUAUAUGUCGUUGACUGGAAGGACAUUUAAAGCAACAACUGAUAGCUUUUCUGAUCUCAGCAACAAUGUCACCAAUUACCACUUGAUUCGCGGCGCAUCUGAUCUCAGGGUCACUCAUGCUGACCAGUCAACUUCGAUGCAAAUGUUGUUGGAUUUGACCAAGACAAGGAUGUUGCGGUUUUACAUGUUGCAUCCAAAGACAUACUAAGGCCUAUACCAUUUAGUGUCUCUGCAGACUUGCUAGUUGGUCAGAAAGUGUCUGCUAUUGACAAUCUUGUGGGUGGACAAAUGGAAUCUAGAAAGGUAGUUCUUAUUACUGCUGCUUCAAACCUUGCUGUAGUAGGGUGCUCAUGACUUUUGCUGUUUUGUUUAUCUGAUCUGAAACGUAUACAUAGAGCAUAGAGUAUAAGACUGCUAAAUUAAGCUGUGUCCUCUUCUCAUAAAGAGUAUAUGACUGGCAUUCCCAUAUAUUGCUGCAUCAGAGAAGGAUGCUAUGGAAAGUGAUCAUGUGCUUAUAUACACGUAUACAUCCUUCUAUGUUUCGUAUGUCAAUAUCAAUUCCUUACAAGUCAUGAAGUUGACUAUGUUAAAGGUACCUGAAAGAAGCCCCAUUCCUUACAAGCCAAAUGAAGUUUUGCCAUUAAUCAUCAUGGAACAAUGGAUUCAAGACAUUGGUUUUAGAAGGAUGAGAAGGCUCAGAAGUUAGCUCUAAGACAUGGACUUGAGGAUGCAAGCUUCCAUUAGGAAUAAGUAGGCUAGUGUUUGGUUGCAACUACAUUAUUGUACUUUGGUUUAUAUAUGUAUGGGAUGUAUGUAUAGCUGCAGUAACAGAUUAAUCAAAUAUUGGUAUUUUUAUGAAUGAAUUCCAUUUUUGAUGAAUGCAUUGGGUAGUUUCCAGAUUUACAUAAUUGUGGCGCAACGAAGAAUAAAAAUAUGUCAUCUGAAUUAUAAAGCAACGACAAAAUGAAAUCCAAAUAUGUUGUUGGACAUAUCUAAGAACAACAGAAACAAGAAAAAA